CCUACGGGUGGCAGCAGUGGGGAAUAUUGGACAAUGGAGGCAACUCUGACCCAGCAACGCCGCGUGAAUGAUGAAGGUCUUCGGAUUGUAAAGUUCUUUUCUAAGGGACGAAGAAAGUGACGGUACCUUAGGAAUAAGCCUCGGCUAACUACGUGCCAGCAGCCGCGGUAAUACGUAGGAGGCAAGCGUUAUCCGGAAUGACUGGGUGUAAAGGGGGCGCAGACGGCAAUGCAAGCCAGGAGUGAAAGCCCGGGGCCCAACCCCGGGACUGCUCUUGGAACUGCAUGGCUGGAGUACAGGAGGGGCAGGCGGAAUUCCUAGUGUAGCGGUGAAAUGCGUAGAUAUUAGGAGGAACACCGGUGGCGAAGGCGGCCUGCUGGACUGUGACUGACGUUGAGGCCCGAAGGCGUGGGGAGCAAACAGGAUUAGAUACACCAGUAGUC
Molecule: ribosomal RNA, 443 nt
Filed under: uncultured bacterium
Lineage: Bacteria
Description: partial 16S ribosomal RNA
Rfam family: Bacterial small subunit ribosomal RNA
Source: RNAcentral